CAGGUUAUGCCUAUAGAGGUUACUAUUAUUUACAAUAAUUGUUUGGUUGUGCAAUUCAAUCUGAUCUGA
Molecule: transfer RNA, 69 nt
Filed under: Neolethaeus assamensis
Lineage: Eukaryota; Metazoa; Arthropoda; Insecta; Hemiptera; Rhyparochromidae
Description: tRNA-Val
Source: RNAcentral